AGUGAACGCUGGCGGUAGGCCUAACACAUGCAAGUCGAACGGCAGCACAGUAAGAGCUUGCUCUUACGGGUGGCGAGUGGCGGACGGGUGAGGAAUACAUCGGAAUCUACUUUUUCGUGGGGGAUAACGUAGGGAAACUUACGCUAAUACAGCAUACGACCUACGGGUGAAAGCAGGGGAUCUUCGGACCUUGCGCGAUUGAAUGAGCCGAUGUCGGAUUAGCUAGUUGGCGGGGUAAAGGCCCACCAAGGCGACGAUCCGUAGCUGGUCUGAGAGGAUGAUCAGCCACAUUGGAACUGAGACACGGACCAGACUCCUACGGUAGGCAGCAGUGGGGAAUAUUGGACAGUGGGCGCAAACCUUGUCCAGCCAUACCGCGUGUGUUACGAAGGCCUUCGGGUUGUAAAGCCCUUUUGUUGGGAAAGAACAGCAGCAGGUUAAUACCCCGCUGUUCUGACGGUACCCAAAGAAUAAGCACCGGCUAACUUCGUG
RNAcentral lists this ribosomal RNA (492 nucleotides) under uncultured bacterium. Its description in RNAcentral is "partial 16S ribosomal RNA". It matches the Rfam family "Bacterial small subunit ribosomal RNA", at positions 29 to 507 of the family's 1533-position model. The record is from RNAcentral.